UUACGGUCAUAUCACGUUGAAACACCGAUUCCUAUACAGUCACCGAAGUUAAGCAACAUCAUUCCUGGUCAAUACCUAGAUGGCUGACCGCUUGGGAAUACCAGGUGCUGUAAU
Molecule: non-coding RNA, 114 nt
Organism: Acanthosepion pharaonis
Lineage: Eukaryota; Metazoa; Mollusca; Cephalopoda; Sepiida; Sepiidae
Source: the annotation of a GenBank genome assembly